GAGAAUCAUUCGCAAUGGGCGAAAGCCUGACGGUGCGACGCCGCGUGGAGGAUGAAGGUCCUAGGAUUGUAAACUCCUGUCAUCAGGGAGUAAAGCUCUAGUGUUAAUAGCACUAUGAGCCUGAUAGUACCUGAAGAGGAAGGGGCGGCUAACUCCGUGCCAGCAGCCGCGGUAACACGGAGGCCUCAAGCGUUGUUCGGAAUUACUGGGCGUAAAGGGUGCGUAGGCGGCGAGGUAAGUCAGAUGUGAAAGCCCGGGGCUCAACCCCGGAAUUGCAUCCGAUACUGCCUUGCUUGAGGGUUGGAGAGGAGACUGGAAUUCACGGUGUAGCAGUGAAAUGCGUGGAUAUCGUGAGGAAGGCCAAUGGCGAAGGCAGGUCUCUGGACAACUCCUGACGCUGAUGCACGAAGGCCAGGGGAGCAAAAA
This 426-nucleotide ribosomal RNA is filed under the name uncultured prokaryote. RNAcentral's name for it is "bacterial SSU rRNA". It matches the Rfam family "Bacterial small subunit ribosomal RNA", at positions 357 to 774 of the family's 1533-position model. The record is from RNAcentral.